This is a long non-coding RNA of Columba livia (rock pigeon), 4737 nucleotides long. RefSeq lists it as uncharacterized. Lineage: Eukaryota; Metazoa; Chordata; Aves; Columbiformes; Columbidae. The transcript is spliced from 2 exons. The record is from RefSeq and is a predicted model, not a curated record.
AUAAUCCUCUUUCCUCCCUUUUUCUUUCUUUUUCUCCACUUUCUCUAUCGUGUGCUGCUUUAUGGGCAAAAUAAUGAAGUUACACUGUUUGAAUUAUAACCCCUUGGCAUUUUGGUCGCCUUAAUUUUGCGUUUUGAGAUCAAGGUAAAUGAACCAUCAUGAGUCCACUGAGUGGACACUGAUAGGGGGUCUGCACCCCCCUGUGGAGAAAGAACCCAUAGGGACACCUGUGGACUCUCCCUUUGGUCUUUUACUCUUCUGUCUCCUCUUUGAACAUUUCCCUCUUAGCUUAGCUUGUAUUUGAAGCCAGUUUCCGCACAGGUGCCAUCAGCAACCCGGUCUGCGUCCCCUGCCCAUAUGUCCCGUGUGUCUUGGUGUCCCCCGAGCCCAGGACUCCAUUUCCAGGGGACCAAUGCGGCCAGGGGUGGCAGGCAGGGCCAGGAGUGAAAUAAACAGCUCAAGCUACUCAAAUAAUGGAUAGCAGCACUUAAUACCAUUUGUUAUAAUGUGUCCGAUAAAGCAUGAGCUAAACAGCGCCGGGUGCGCGGGGAGUCUGUGCUCCACCAACACGCACACCAAGAUCUCCAAACUGGCUCCUUUUAUUGUCCUUGAAUUCCGAAUUUUGGGCAGUUUCAGCCUAUUUUCGUUUCUUCUCUAUUUCAUGUUCUUUCCUUUGCGGUUUUCAGGAGUGCUACUUGCAGCUGGUCAUUCUCCAGGAAGUUGCUCUUUUUUCUCCGUGUCUUCUUCUUUCCUUGUUACUUCUAGUUUCACAAUUAGUCUUACAGUUGGUUUAAAGCAAGCCAGGUUUUCAAUUAGCCACACAGUUUGCUCAAAGCUUAGCCAUUAUUUCCUUUGUCUUAGCUCCAUGCCUUAUUUGGUUAAGAGCGGGUCUUACGAGCAAUCGCAAUGUCUUUUGUAACUUUCGUAAUGUCCUUUUACUUUCCAUACAAGUAGAACAGCUGCGCGCUUUUAGCACGAAUCGUAAUUACAUUUUUCACAGCGGCCGCAAGGACACAGCGGUGCUCCCGGUGCCCGCCCCCCCGAGCCGAGCGGGGCGGAGCGGCAGGACUACACCUCCCGUGCUGCACCGGCGGCGGGCGGCCCUCCCGGGCUGACGCUGCCGGCGGCUCCCGGCGCCGCCUUUGUCCGUGCCGGCGCUCUCCGGCCGCGGGCAUCCCCCGCUGGGCGGCCCCGGGAGGGAACCCCGGCCCCGACGGCCUCUCCCGUGCUCUCCCCUCCGCCGGCCGCCCCCCAGCCCUGCCGGACCCCCCCGCACUCCCCUUUGGUCCCGGCUCCCCCCGGCGCUCCGGCCUUUCCCCGGCUCGCCCCGUGGCCCCCGUGCAACGCGGACACGCUGCUCCGUGUCCCAGCCGCCCGGGCCCCCCUGGAUCCGGCCCUGGCGGCCCCGGCGCUGGGAAGGGCUGGGCUGGGGCCGGGCCGGGUGCUCAGACCCCCGAGACACCCCGCACAUCUUCCUGCUGCCCUUGUGGGGCACCGGAGCAAGAUUUGGGUACACGGGAGCUUCCAAAACCCCUUUUUCUCGUGUCUCUUUCUCGGCUUUGCCCCGAGCUGGCCGGGUUGUUGGGUGACACUCUUUGGGUUGGUCCUUUCCCCAUAGCUGUGAAGGCUCGGGGUGCAGGGAAGGCAGCUGUGGGCAGGUGAGUGAACUUGUGCCCCUGAUUUCUUCAUGAAAAUAUUGUUCUUGUGAGCAACAUCUGUCCUGGCUGUGCUGGUGCAGCUGGUGACGGGACAGGCACCUCGUGUGGAAUCCGGAGCAUCCUGCCUCCCUCUUCCCGGAUCAAUACCUGCACGGGACUCCAUCUCCGCGCCGAGAGCAGCGACGCGCCGGGCUCCAGGCUGCUGCGGCAAGGAUGCUACGAGCAACAGCUGCUGAUGCACUAGCGUAUCCACACUGGUGAGAAGCCCUUCUCAUGCACUGGCUGAAGCAAGACCUUCAGUGACAAGGAGACCCUCAUCAACCACGGGCAUAUCCACACUGGGGAGAUACCCUGCUUACAUGGCAAGUGUAGCAAGACCUGCAGCUAUGAGCAGCACCUGCAGAGCCAGCAGUGCGUGCACCGGAGUCCACUGAUGGUGCUGGUGGGUGGAUGGCAGGAGAGAGGGGUCCUUCCCCAGCAGGGGGGCAGGCAGAGGCCAGGCCCUUCCAGUGCGGUGUCUGCGAGAAGCAGUUUUGGAAGGAGAGGCUCAUGCUGGCUCACCAGCGCACCCACAGCACCCCCAGCCUGCAGCCGCCUCCGCAGCCCGGCACCCCCUGAAUCUGCUGCUGAGGGGCCCGUGGGGCGCUGGGAGCUUCUGUGGGGGUAGCUGUGGGGGCAUGUCUUGGUUUUAUUUGGGACAGAGUUAAUUUUCUUCCUAGUACCUGGUAUAGUGCUGUGUUUUGGAUUGAGGAUGAAAAUAAUGUUGCUAAUACCUGGAUGUUUUGUUUGUUGCUGAGCAGUCAAGGACUCUUCAGCUCUGGUGCCCUGCCAGCUGGGAGGGGACACAGUCGGGACAGCAGAAACAAAGUGGCCAAAGGGCUGUUCCAUACGAUGUCACACUCAGUAUAGAAACUGAGGGGAGUUUGCGGGGGUCACCACAGCUUGGGAACAGUCUGGACAUCGGUCAGCGGGUGGUGAGCAGUUGUGUUGUGUUUUGCUUGUUUUGUGUAUUCUUACAUCAUUGUCAUGGUCAUCAUUCCUUUCCUCUUCUAUCCUGUUAUUGGUCUUUAUCUCAACCUACAAGUUUUACACGUAUCAUUGGAGGAACCCAAUUUAAAUUUUAUGUUAAUCAUUUAGCUUAAAUAAGUACAUUUUUAAUAGCAUGAGUCACUUAGAAUGAAUUUGUAUUUCUGUUUCUUUAAGUGAUCUGAACACCGCUCUGCGGCAAGCGGGACCCUAAAUCACUGCUCUGUGACAAAUUGGCGUAGCUGGCAGGAUGGCGGGUGACAUCGCUGAUUGCGAUGGGGUGAAUCCGAGACCCACAUUCUCAGAAAAAUGGGCUCGUGAUAAUUAGCUUGAUUGGAAAGCUGGGACCUCUCCAGCAUAUUUGUGGUGAGACUGCCUAAGUCACAGUGACCAAAUAAUGCUGAAUGGAAAUGAAACAAUUGGCUUUUGGAGUCCAGGGGCUUGAUUAAAUCUAGCAGCUGACCCAGCCAAUGAAUACCGUUCUAUCACCAGCUAAGUAGCUUCUUGGGCUGGCAGAGAUGUUUUGGUAUGAGGUGAACCCCCCAUGAUACCCAUAAGAUCUCUUGAUGAGCUCCCUACAGCUGUGACAAAAGCUGCCUGCACACAAGCCAUGCAUCAAAGAGUAGCCACCAGUGUCCUGAUACCUACCGUAAUUGAUUAUGAAAUGCAGAACCCCAUCUAGUUGCAAAACAGGAUGAAAUGAGAACAGACCACAAUGAGUGAUGAGGCUGCAGUGUCCCUGCACCCCAGUCCCUGCCGGGGCCGACUCAGUGCACAACGCUGUCGAUCAUGCCCGUGAAAUGUGGUGGGAUGAUUCGGUAGCCAGAAAAUUGGACCCAAGACCCACUCAUUGAGUAAGACAAACAAAACAAACACCCCCAGGGGUGAUGGGCAUGUAUGCACCUUGUUAUAUCUUAAACAGUUGUUUUUGCAGCUUCUGGCAGGGGGGAAGAGAGUAGUGCUGUGGAGGCAGGACGGUAUCUCCCUCACUCUUUGCAAAGCAAAGGCACCAGCCUUUGAGAUAAAGGCAUUACCUGUGCUUGCACAAAAGCAGGGUCGUACAGUGGUCAUGAGUCACCAGGGGGAAUCACGACUCACCCCUAGAGGACCAACCAGCUCACUUCUGGGACCACUGACUCAUUUCUGACACAAUGUCCUUAAUCAGCAUGAGGAGCCAGCAGAGGGAGGAGGUGAGCCACCCGCUCCUAUCUUGCAUGCAAAUGAACUGAAGUAUUUAAAACUUCCCACUUGGGACACUCUUGCAUUGUGUUGCGCCUCCACCCUACGGAACUACAGAGAGCGGUGAGAGAUUGACCUUUGGAGUGGUGAAAUCUUACUCAUCUUCUGAUACCUAUCUCUCUUUUUCUCUCUCUGUUUCUAACUUUAUUCUGGGCACAUAAGGGUAAUGUCAUUGAGAAUUUUGUUGCUGAAUCUUGUUAAGUCUUGUAGUAUAGUUACAAGCUUUUGCCAAGCCACUAUUUGCUGUAAUUCCUCUGAGUUCUAAGUACAUUAGUGAUUUGAUUGAACCUUUUGAGUAACUGUCGUUCGUCUCAAAUACUGCACAGAGUAUUUAAGAGUUAAUCUUGCCCUCCCUGCACUGAGUGUGAGGGAACACUUAAGUUGGUGUCAGAAAUGGGAUACUCUGUGAGAAACAGUAAAGGGGUUUCCUACAAGGGGAUAUUAGCCAGAGUGCUGAAGAAAAGAGAACUGGUUUGCGGCCAAAACCAUAAUCUCCAGCAGGAGGUCAAGGCUACCCGGAUUAAUGUCUUCAAGGCCAGCAUGAAGUCACAGAAUAUUAGGGAUUGAAAGGGACCUCUGCAGCUAAACAAGAUAAGGGUCUGUCUGAAGAUAGUAAAAGGACAGAUGAGAAGCAAGAAGACCCCAGACUCAAAUAUUACUAUUGGAUUGAAUCAUCACGUGAGAGGCAGGUAAAUAGUGUGUGAGGGUUUAAUUACCCAGGGACUUGUAUGCUGGGCUUGGCAGCUCUGCGAAGGCACCCAGCUCGAGCUGACCCUCCUGCUGUUCCACACCAUUAAAUUGUUUAUUUCUAUGA